GAAGGUCAGGGAAGAGGAGAGUGGAUCUGUGGUGGUGGUGGCUGUUUGGAGAUUGAGAAAAGAGAAGAUUUUUUUUGAACGUGAAAAGAGAAGGUUAAUCUGGAGAUUGAAUGGUUGAGAAAAGAGAAGGCUAGGUGUUAAUUAGGUGAGAGAAUAAAUGGGUUAGGUUAAAUGGAUUUUUUUUUGAAAUUAGGUUAAAUGGGUUUUUCUAAGCCAAUUUUUUUUUAAAUUAAUUAACACCUUGCCUCAUUAAUCCCACGUGGUCAUGCCACACGGUCACCGAAGCUCCGGCGUUGACCCAGAGCUCCGAAGGGACCAAAACCAAACCUUUUGACAAAUGUUAGGGACUAAAGCUCACCUUUGCUCCAGCGAGGGACAAAAACCAAGCAUAUUGUAAAGGGUAAGGACCAAAAACUUAUUUAAGUCUUUAUUUAUUGACAGCGACAUUUGCUUGGCUGUAAGCGUGAUGGAUCUGAAGAAGUAGGAGAUUGGCAAUACCCACCAUCUGUUCCUCAAUGCACUCUAUUAUGCCUUAAAAGAUGCUAUCUAAAUGACUAUACAGGCACCAAAGGUGAGUUUCGAUUUGCAAGAUUUAUUAUGCAGAAUGGAAGAUCUUUAGAGAGGAUGGCAAUAUGUUGUCGUUCUAAAAUAAAUCGACAGGUUAAAAUACUUAUCAGAAAUGUCUGACCUUCAAAACCCAAUCCAUGAGGAAUUUGGUAGAAUACUAUGCGGGAAGAAUGGCAUAAUCUGUGAGAUUGUUCUUACAGAAUUUUAGGAGCUAGUACUGAUGUGUGGAUGGCCCAAUGAGAAACUGAGAGCUGACAAGUUAAUAAAUUGCAUCAGAUUGAUGCUUGGAUUCUCUGGUUUGUUUACCAAAAAUCAGCAUAAACAGCCUCCCAACAACUAGGAAGCUGGCAUUGAAAAACAAGGUUGUCUUUGGCACCGGUGACCAAUGGCAUGCUCCAACUAUAACUGCAAAUAUGGCAUUUGCCAGAGCAGUUUCACAGACAGGGAUGUCCUUUUCACCUAUUGAACAUUGACCACGGGCCUUAACUGGAGAUUAGUUAUAUACAUUCAUGGCAACAAGUCUGGAGGCAAUCACACUCAACAAAGUCAGGUAAUAAAAUCUAUGUUCAAUUAAAUGGGUUUGCAUGUCAUAAAAGAAUUGCAUAAAGAGAUAAGCAAAUCCAAGCUUGGUGAUUCUUGAGUGUCUUCUUAGUUGAAUGGAGAUGGAAUAACAAUUUGUGGAAGAUGGACAUUAUCCCUAGAAGAAUAACUGCAUGUUUCUGAUUAGGUACCAGGAUCCUUGUGCAAGAUGAUUCUUAAGCAUUUAUUAAAUAUUUAUAAUAAUUAUGAUGAUAGAGUCCAUAUUAAGUAAUUGAAUUUGGCUCUUUUAAAGGAGGGAUGCUAUAGGGGAUAAAGAGUGGAAUUAUAACUAUUGAUUGAAAAAAAGUUAAGGUUUAAGUCUGAAUCUGCAGUGCCGUCAUUAAUAUCCUUCCAGACUGCACUUGGCGAGUCCAGAAUACAUUGUGCACUAUUUUGUUCUGAUGACCUUGGUAGUACUGAGGUAGUGACCCUUUUCACAAAGCUCAGAAUUGGAAUACCACACACCCAACCUUCCCGCUCUUGCUCAUAGUAUAUGCCAUUCUUGUUUGGGUUGUUUGCUGUGAUCUUCACAUCAAACUUGCAUGCAGAAAUGCCUCAAUUAAGCAUCAGAUCACUUAACCUUAUGCAGUUACGCUACCAAUUGAGUAAUUGAGAGAAGUUUUGCCUUGAAGAUUGGAUAAAGGAUUCCUGCAGUUGGGUGCCAAUGUAAUAUUGACCAGGAGGAUAAGCAAAGCUUAGUGUCCAACAUAUGCACUUGCCAAACCCAUUUAGUGGAGGAUGAUGAAGGUGUGAAAAACGACUAGAAGGGGGGGGU
Lotus japonicus is the source of this 1921-nucleotide long non-coding RNA. RefSeq lists it as uncharacterized. The record is from RefSeq and is a predicted model, not a curated record. The transcript is spliced from 3 exons. Lineage: Eukaryota; Viridiplantae; Streptophyta; Magnoliopsida; Fabales; Fabaceae.